RNAcentral lists this unclassified non-coding RNA (458 nucleotides) under Hevea brasiliensis (rubber tree). Lineage: Eukaryota; Viridiplantae; Streptophyta; Magnoliopsida; Malpighiales; Euphorbiaceae. The record is from RNAcentral.
UUUUGGGUUCUUUUUUUUUCCCCCCUUCAUGUUAGACUUAGAUGGACUAUCAUUGCUUAGCAAACAAAUAUAUAGAAGCUUUUAAAGUGGCAAAAAGAGCAUUAUUUUGCCUCAACCACAAAUUAUGGUGCCUCUUAAAAUUCAAACACUUCUAGUGAAAAAAAAGGAAGUAAUUUAUUCUCAAUUCAUGUCUUUUCUCUCAUUUAUGUUAGUCUCUGUUGCAAUUAAUUUGCAAAGUUUAAGUUCUUGUGAGUGUAGAUGAAAGUUUUGAUAGAUGAUUUUGCUGAAAUUGAUGCUCUUUGUCCUAAUUUUUUUUUCCACUAGGACUCAUUCUUCUAAUAGAAGAAUGUUACAAUUAGGAAAUUGCUAACAUUUACCAUGCACUCAUGGAAACUAUUUGAAUAAUAUUACUUGGGAUGGUUUGGAAGUAAUAAGUUGUGUCCACAACUGGAUCCAAG